RNAcentral lists this long non-coding RNA (2021 nucleotides) under Astyanax mexicanus (Mexican tetra). Its description in RNAcentral is "lncRNA (ENSAMXG00005000680.1)". Lineage: Eukaryota; Metazoa; Chordata; Actinopteri; Characiformes; Acestrorhamphidae. The record is from RNAcentral.
AUUAUUGUGGACAAUAAUAAUAAUAAUAAUAAUAAUAAUAAUAAUAAUAGGCAUGGUGUUGUAUCUCCACAGUGUUGAACAGUUUAACCCACUGAUGAACAUCAGCUGUAACACCAGUCUGGAACAGGCCACAUGCUCACAGGCGGUGACGGGACUGACAGCGCAGGACCUGGCCAGUUUUCUCACCUGUUCACUGUCCAGCAAUACUACCUACUACAAGGAGACGUGGAAGCUCCUCUUCACUAAACUGGACGGAGUUCUGGACAACGCCCUCAGGAUCUUCUCUAGCAGAGCGCUGCCCUGGCCAGUCAACAACCCCUCAGUGUCGGAGAUGCUGGAUGCAGUUGCUGAUGUUCGUCUGCAGCAAUUCAGUCCUGACCAAUGGGAGAACGUGUCUGUAAUAGCCAACCUGUUCGAUAACGUCCUGAAGCCGCUCUUACCCUUCGCUUCAGCAGAUCUGCUCUACUGCUUCAGCAGCAAGAACUUCAGCUGCAACACCUACCACCUCCUGUUGAAGGAGUUUAGUGAUCAGAUGUUCCUCCUGGAUCAGAUGGAGAAGCUAAGAGUUCUGAAAGGCUUCAUCCUGCCUUACCUCACCAAGAACAGCACAGAUGUGGGCUGUGUGUUCAGCACUAACGGCAGUUCUGAUUGGCUGCUGAAGAACUUUGGGGCAUUUUCUGAACUUCUGGCCGUCAGAGAUCUGAUCACCAUCAACCCUCUCUUUGACCCGAUGCUCGUUCUAUCGUCCCUCACUCCACUACAAACAGCAGAGCUGAUGGUGGAGAAUCUUCCUGGGCUUCCAGAGAAAUCCGACACCAUCAACACAGUGUUCGACUUCCUGCGUUCCUCACCCUGGAAACUUAUUCAAGUCAUACAAGAGCUUCUGAUGUUCUCAAACAAGGGUAUGAUCCCCUGCAACUCCCACGCUGUGAUAUCCAACAGGCUGUUCUGGGCUCUAACCUUCAUUCCACAGGAAUUAGAAUACCAGUUUUCAGCAUUAGCGGAUCAGCUGAAGCUCUCUGCUCCUCAAGGAUGUGUACUAACUCCAUUUCCUACAUGCGUCAUCACACACGUUAAUGAGACGCAGCUCUGUGAGGGAUUCAACAGAUUUUCCAGUGAGCAGCUUUUGCAGGACCUUCAUAACGGUUCCUGUUCCAUCAGUCUACAGAACUAUGCCUGCUCUCAGCUAUACGGGUUCAGCAGUUCAGACCUGGCAUUACUACUGAGCUGCACCGUCAACAGCACUGAGUACCCAAAUGAGGUCUGGAAGCUUCUGUUCUACAAAGCUUAUCCCAUACUGGACCAAGCCCUGCUCCUCUUCUCCAACAUGACCGGCAAUAAGCCUCUACCGAGGAGCCCAGCUGUAGCUAAUGUCCUGGGCAUAAUUGCAGAAGUUCAGCUGGACAGGUUUACUCCUGUUCAAUGGAAUGACGGUGCUUUAAUCAGCACAAUCUUUGGAAACACCCUGAGGCCAUAUCUAUCUUCAGUACGUUACAUCUUCCUCCAGUGCCUUGUGGGGAAAAAUCUCAGCUGCCCAACGUUCCAGAUAAUUGUUCAGGAGUUCAGUCAGUUUUUCAGCUAUAUGGACGCGCCUACCGUACUCAGCGAGUUCUUCCUGCCCGUCCUGCUCAUUAACUCAGACAUGGGCUGUGUGUCCAGCACUAACGGCAGUUCUGAUUGGCUGGUGAAGAACUUUGGGGCGUUUUCUGAGCUAAUGACCGUCAGAGAUCUGAUAAACAUCAACCUUCUCUUUGACCCGCUUCUGGCUCUGUCCCAGCUUAGUCCCUCUCAGGUAGCUCAGGUGAUGCUGAUGGACGUUCCUGGUCACUCCACAGACGAGGUCAUCAACUCUGUGUUUGAUUUCCUGGUUGAAUCUCCGGAAACUCAUAGAAUGCCUGCAGUUCUGAACGCCCUCACCAGUUCCACUGUAAAUACACACUUUUACACACCUCCACACGCCUUUACACACCUCCACACACCUCUACACACCUUUACACACCUCCACACACCUUUACACACCU